Molecule: ribosomal RNA, 207 nt
Filed under: uncultured bacterium
Lineage: Bacteria
Description: partial 16S ribosomal RNA
Rfam family: Bacterial small subunit ribosomal RNA
Source: RNAcentral
CGCGCAGGUGGGUUAGCAAGUCAGAGGUGAAAUCCUACAGCUUAACUGUAGAACUGCCUUUGAUACUGCUAAUCUUGAGUAUGGAAGAGAGAGAUGGAAUUCCAGGUGUAGUGGUGAAAUACGUAGAUAUCUGGAAGAACACCAGUGGCGUAGGCGGUCUCUUGGUCCAAUACUGACGCUGAGGCGCGAAAGCGUGGGGAGCAAACA